CCAUUGGUUUUAUUUAAAACCACAUAUAUUAUAUAUGUUUUCGUGG
Molecule: non-coding RNA, 46 nt
Organism: Hordeum vulgare subsp. vulgare (domesticated barley)
Lineage: Eukaryota; Viridiplantae; Streptophyta; Magnoliopsida; Poales; Poaceae
Source: Rfam